AAACACCUAUAUUUAUACUAAAAUAUAAGUAUUUAGCCAGUCCCUCCUAAUUAAGCAUACAUUAAUAAUCUAUUUUAUUGUCAACUAGCAUAAUGCCCAGUGGGGUGGGUUUACUCGAUCCACGAGCCUCGGAUCCUCGUUGUUGACGGGCACGUCGUCUCCUACUGAAAGAAUAAAGUGAGAAGUUGAACCCAGGACCCCAAGUGCUACUAAGGCCUUAUAUGACCACUAGGCUACGUGCCCUUUCG
RNAcentral lists this long non-coding RNA (248 nucleotides) under Oryza brachyantha (malo sina). Its description in RNAcentral is "long non-coding RNA (OBRA_LNC002033)". Lineage: Eukaryota; Viridiplantae; Streptophyta; Magnoliopsida; Poales; Poaceae. The record is from RNAcentral.